Molecule: ribosomal RNA, 301 nt
Filed under: uncultured bacterium
Lineage: Bacteria
Description: partial 16S ribosomal RNA
Rfam family: Bacterial small subunit ribosomal RNA
Source: RNAcentral
CAGUCGCCGCGGUAAUACGAAGGGGGCUAGCGUUGUUCGGAUUUACUAAGCGUAAAGCGCACGUAGGCGGACUUUUAAGUCAGGGGUGAAAUCCCGGGGCUCAACCCCGGAACUGCCUUUGAUACUGGAAGUCUUGAGUAUGGUAGAGGUGAGUGGAAUUCCGAGUGUAGAGGUGAAAUUCGUAGAUAUUCGGAGGAACACCAGUGGCGAAGGCGGCUCACUGGACCAUUACUGACGCUGAGGUGCGAAAGCGUGGGGAGCAAACAGGAUUAGAUACCCCUGUAGUCCCUGUCUCUUAUAC